Molecule: non-coding RNA, 357 nt
Organism: Pelodiscus sinensis (Chinese soft-shelled turtle)
Lineage: Eukaryota; Metazoa; Chordata; Testudines; Trionychidae
Source: the annotation of a RefSeq genome assembly
GGGUCCGCUCCCAAGUGCUGCUGCAGGAAACGGGCCCAGGAGCGGCGAAACCCGGGGAGUCCCGGACACUCACUUGCACCAUCUCCGGAGACUGUAUCGCCACCGUCAGUGCUGCCUGGCACUGGCUCCGGCAGCCCGCGGGGAAGGGGCUGGAGUGGGUGGGGCGCACGUGGUACAGGUCUGGCCAGUGGAACACUGAAUACAACAGCGCGCUGCGGGGCCGAGCGACCCUCCCCGCAGACACCGCCAGGAACCAGGUCUCGCUGCAGCUCCGCGCGCUGACAGCUGCGGACACCGGCACCUAUUACUGCGCCCGGCAGCCUCACUCACACAGUGACACAGAGCAACGCGGGGCUG